GUCUGCAGCCAUGCCACCCUGAAUGUGCCUGAUCUCGUCUGAUCUUGGAAGCUAAGCAGGGUUGGGUCUGGUUAGUACUUGGAUGGGUUCAAUCUUAUGUGUAGAAUGUGACAUUUUAAGUU
This 122-nucleotide ribosomal RNA is filed under the name Pteropus vampyrus (large flying fox). Lineage: Eukaryota; Metazoa; Chordata; Mammalia; Chiroptera; Pteropodidae. The record is from RNAcentral.